This 490-nucleotide ribosomal RNA is filed under the name uncultured bacterium. RNAcentral's name for it is "partial 16S ribosomal RNA". It matches the Rfam family "Bacterial small subunit ribosomal RNA", at positions 30 to 507 of the family's 1533-position model. The record is from RNAcentral.
AUUGAACGCUGGCGGCAGGCCUAACACAUGCAAGUCGAAUGGUAACAGGAAACAGCUUGCUGUUUCGCUGACGAGUGGCGGACGGGUGAGUAAUGUCUGGGAAACUUCCUGAUGGAGGGGGAUAACUACUGGAAACGGUAGCUAAUACCGCAUAACGUCGCAAGCCCAAAGAGGGGGACCUUCUGGCGUCUUGCCAUCAGAUGUGCCCAGAUGGGAUUUGCUGGUAGGUGGGGUAACGGUUCACCUAGCCGACGAUCCUUAGCUGGUCUCAGAGGAUGACCACGCACACUGGAACUGAAACACGGUCCAGACUCCUACGGGAGGCACCAGUGGGGAAUAUUGCACAGUGGGCGGAAGCCUUAUGCAGCCGUGCCGCGUGUAUGACGAAGGCCUUCCGGUUGUAAAGUAGUUUAUGGGGGGAGGAAGGGAGUAAAGUUAUUACCUUGGCUCAUUGACGUUACCCGGAGAAGAAGCACCGGCUAACUCCGUG